RNAcentral lists this ribosomal RNA (458 nucleotides) under uncultured Neisseria sp. RNAcentral describes it as "bacterial SSU rRNA". It matches the Rfam family "Bacterial small subunit ribosomal RNA", at positions 24 to 477 of the family's 1533-position model. Lineage: Bacteria; Pseudomonadati; Pseudomonadota; Betaproteobacteria; Neisseriales; Neisseriaceae. The record is from RNAcentral.
UCAGAUUGAACGCUGGCGGCAUGCUUUACACAUGCAAGUCGAACGGCAGCACGAAAGAGCUUGCUCUUUUGGUGGCGAGUGGCGAACGGGUGAGUAAUACAUUGGAACGUACCGAGUAAUGGGGGAUAACUGUCCGAAAGGAUGGCUAAUACCGCAUACGCUCUGAGGAGGAAAGCGGGGGACCUUCGGGCCUCGCGUUAUUCGAGCGGCCAAUGUCUGAUUAGCUAGUUGGUGGGGUAAAGGCCUACCAAGGCGACGAUCAGUAGUGGGUCUGAGAGGAUGAUCCGCCACACUGGGACUGAGACACGGCCCAGACUCCUACGGGAGGCAGCAGUGGGGAAUUUUGGACAAUGGGCGAAAGCCUGAUCCAGCCAUGCCGCGUGUCUGAAGAAGGCCUUCGGGUUGUAAAGGACUUUUGUCAGGGAAGAAAGGGUUUGGGUUAAUACCCUGAGCUUAUG